GCCUGGGAAGCUCAGUCGAUUAAGUGUCUGACUUCGACUCAGGUCGUGAUCUCACGAUUUGUGGGUUCAAGCCCACAUCAGGCU
This 84-nucleotide transfer RNA is filed under the name Felis catus (domestic cat). It matches the Rfam family "tRNA". From Rfam's summary of the family: Transfer RNA (tRNA) molecules are approximately 80 nucleotides in length. Their secondary structure includes four short double-helical elements and three loops (D, anti-codon, and T loops). Lineage: Eukaryota; Metazoa; Chordata; Mammalia; Carnivora; Felidae. The record is from Rfam by way of RNAcentral. RNAcentral also lists the same sequence under 1 other name.